Long non-coding RNA from Oncorhynchus mykiss (rainbow trout), 1314 nucleotides. NCBI's taxonomy places the organism in Eukaryota, Metazoa, Chordata, Actinopteri, Salmoniformes, Salmonidae. The record is from Ensembl.
GUGUGUGUGUGUGUGUGUGUGUGUGUGUGUGUGUGUGUGUGUGUGUGUGUGUGUGUGUGUGUGUGUGUGUGUGUGUGUGUGUGUGUGUGUGUGUGUGUGUGUGUGUGUGUGUGUGUGUGUGUGUUUUAGAGGGUCUCUGAGGUACCAGGGGCAAUAGUAGAAACUGUUCUCCUCAGUGGGGAAGACUCCUUGAAGAAAAAGAAGAGUCGGGAACGGAAGGGCAAGGGACAGAAAGGACGACAUAAGAGGCAAAGACAACGCCUGACGAGUACAGAGGAGGAAGAGGAAGCGGAGGAGGAGGAAUUAUACGAUGGGGAUGAGUACAGUUAUGAAUAUGAGGAUUCCACAGAUGAUCCCUCACUGUCAAUUGAAAAGCAAGGGGAGUUUGAAAUCACAACAGAAAGCACACUACAUGGAAUGAGCAAAGAGAGUGGCCUGACAACUUUAGGUCCAUAUCCAUCCCAGUCACCAGGAGACAGUGAAAAGCAGGGGGAAUUCAUCACACCUGUCCUUCCCAGCACAACGGAAGAAACAGAGAAGGUAAGUCUGUGACUGACUGCAUGAUUCUACCUGAUGCUUUACUAACCAUGAUCCUGAGGGAUAUGAGGUGUAAAUGGACACAACUAGCCUUCUAUUAGUCUUUACUAACCAUGAUCCUGAGGGAUAUGAGGUGUAAAUGGACACAACUAGCCUUCUAUUAGUCUUUACUAACCAUGAUCCUGAGGGAUAUGAGGUGUAAAUGGACACAACUAGACUUCUAUUAGUCUUUACUAACCAUGAUCCUGAGGGAUAUGAGGUGUAAAUGGACACAACUAGACUUCUAUUAGUCUUUACUAACCAUGAUCCUGAGGGAUAUGAGGUGUAAAUGAACACAACUAGCCUUCUAUUCGUCUUUAUUAAUGGUGUUUCAGUUCAUGUAUGCCUCCGUUGGACUGUGGGUGUAUGAAUGUGAUGCAAAGUGCUUUGAUCCAAUGAUUAUCAUUGGCAUUCCAAUACAAAGGUUGUAGGUAAUUGAUAUCAUUUAUAUUUUCUAACUUAUCUUCUUUAUGCGUUUCUUGGUUGAUUAGAAUUCACAAAAUAAAGCCCUGCCCAGUGUUCACUAACAUGAAUACAUAGUCAGAUUGUGUCAUAAUAAUGAUUGGCCAACCAUCGUAGUGAUCUGAGCACUUGUCAUCACUGCGUACGUUGAGAUCUUUCGUCUGACUAACAACUGUGAACAUUUCACCAGUGCAAAAGGUACCACAAUUCCACAUGUCAUUUUAAACAAUAAAUAUUAUGCCAUCGUUAUAAUAAAAGUAUAUAAAGACAUUUGAU